RNAcentral lists this ribosomal RNA (724 nucleotides) under uncultured bacterium. RNAcentral's name for it is "bacterial SSU rRNA". It matches the Rfam family "Bacterial small subunit ribosomal RNA", at positions 795 to 1518 of the family's 1533-position model. The record is from RNAcentral.
CCACGCCGUAAACGAUGAGUGNUAAGUGUUGGAGGGUUUCCGCCCUUCAGUGCUGCAGCAAACGCAUUAAGCACUCCGCCUGGGGAGUACGACCGCAAGGUUGAAACUCAAAGGAAUUGACGGGGGCCCGCACAAGCGGUGGAGCAUGUGGUUUAAUUCGAAGCAACGCGAAGAACCUUACCAGGUCUUGACACCCUUUGACCACUCUAGAGAUAGAGCUUUCCCUUCGGGGACAAAGUGACAGGUGGUGCAUGGUUGUCGUCAGCUCGUGUCGUGAGACGUUGGGUUAAGUCCCGCAACGAGCGCAACCCUUAUUGUUAGUUGCCAUCAUUUAGUUGGGCACUCUAGCGAGACUGCCGGUGACAAACCGGAGGAAGGUGGGGAUGACGUCAAGUCAUCAUGCCCCUUAUGACCUGGGCUACACACGUGCUACAAUGGGAAGUACAACGAGUCGCUAGACCGCGAGGUCAUGCAAAUCUCUUAAAGCUUCUCUCAGUUCGGAUUGCAGGCUGCAACUCGCCUGCAUGAAGCCGGAAUCGCUAGUAAUCGCGGAUCAGCACGCCGCGGUGAAUACGUUCCCGGGCCUUGUACACACCGCCCGUCACACCACGAGAGUUUGUAACACCCGAAGUCGGUGAGGUAACCUUUUUGGGGCCAGCCGCCUAAGGUGGGAUAGAUGAUUGGGGUGAAGUCGUAACAAGGUAACCAAGGGCGAAUUCGCGGC